This is a long non-coding RNA of Bradysia coprophila, 139 nucleotides long. Lineage: Eukaryota; Metazoa; Arthropoda; Insecta; Diptera; Sciaridae. The record is from RefSeq and is a predicted model, not a curated record.
UUACUUUCAACGAGUGAUUUGAAUAUUUUUUUGUCCUUGAAGACUGAAAUUCGACGGAUUUCGACACGCAUUCUACGAUCGAAAAGUUCAAUUUUUCUGAACUUCUCAGAGAGAGGUAUUUGCGGCCAAAAAAGUACUU